Long non-coding RNA from Trematomus bernacchii (emerald rockcod), 184 nucleotides. RefSeq lists it as uncharacterized. The transcript has 3 exons. The record is from RefSeq and is a predicted model, not a curated record. NCBI's taxonomy places the organism in Eukaryota, Metazoa, Chordata, Actinopteri, Perciformes, Nototheniidae.
GUGACGUACUUUGGAAAAGCCUUGCAGUUUGGAAACCAGUACAUCUACCAGGCCAUGCCUCGCAUGCUUUCUCUCUGGCUGGAUUUUGGAGCCAAAGUGUGCGAGUGUGAGAAAGCUGGCCGGUCGGACAGGCAGAUGCGACAGGAGCUGGGGAAAAUCAACGCUGUGGUGAGCGAGCACUGCG